CCUACGGGGGGCAGCAGUAGGGAAUAUUGCUCAAUGGGGGAAACCCUGAAGCAGCAACGCCGCGUGAAGGAUGAAGGUUUUCGGAUUGUAAACUCCUUUUGUUAGGGAAGAAAAUGACGGUAUCUAACGAAUAAUCACCGGCUAACGCCGUGAAAGCAGCCGCGGUAAUACGGAGGGUGCAAGCGUUACUCGGAAUAACUGGGCGUAAAGAGCACGUAGGCGGGAUAGCAAGUCAGAUGUGAAAUCUUAUGGCUCAACCAUAGAACUGCAGUUGAAACUGUUAGUCUUGAGUAUGGGAGAGGGAGGUGGAAUUCUUGGUGUAGGGGUAAAAUCCGUAGAGAUCAAGAGGAACACUCAUUGCGAAGGCGACCUGCUAGAACAUAACUGACGCUGAUGCGCGAAAGCGUGGGUAGCAAACAGGAUUAGAUACCCGUGUAGUC
This 440-nucleotide ribosomal RNA is filed under the name uncultured bacterium. Its description in RNAcentral is "partial 16S ribosomal RNA". It matches the Rfam family "Bacterial small subunit ribosomal RNA", at positions 338 to 795 of the family's 1533-position model. The record is from RNAcentral.